AGUCCAAUUACAAAUGAUACUCCCUCAACACAAGAACCAACAAAAAUAUCAGAUAUUAUAUCUUUAUUACAAACCUUUGCCCAGACCAAUAAUAAUAUACCGUCCAUCGUUGCCCCCUUAAUGGAGUUACUUGUAAAUUUACUUAAAAUAAAUAAUGGCCAACAAAAUCAUACAAUGGAACGCUAGAAGUAUAGUUAAUAAGAAAAGUGAUCUAAUUUACUUAUUAAAUAAAUAUAAACCAUUCUUGUUUUCAUUAUGUGAAACUUGGCUUAGACCAGGUUUUACAUUAAAUAUUAAAAAUUAUAAUACUGUCAGAGAAGACAGAUUAGAUGGAUAUGGUGGUGUAGCUCUUCUCAUUAAGAAAGACUAUCCUUUUAAUAUAGUAUCCAUUCCUGUACAUAGUCCAGAAAUUUCUAUUUUAGCUGUUAC
Molecule: unclassified non-coding RNA, 429 nt
Filed under: Melitaea cinxia (Glanville fritillary)
Lineage: Eukaryota; Metazoa; Arthropoda; Insecta; Lepidoptera; Nymphalidae
Description: misc RNA ENSMCXG00005019612.1
Source: RNAcentral